Long non-coding RNA from Panicum virgatum (switchgrass), 704 nucleotides. RefSeq lists it as uncharacterized. NCBI's taxonomy places the organism in Eukaryota, Viridiplantae, Streptophyta, Magnoliopsida, Poales, Poaceae. The record is from RefSeq and is a predicted model, not a curated record. The transcript is spliced from 2 exons.
ACUCGCUUACUUGUACGACUAAUAGCUAGCAGGUAGGUUAGAGGUAGGAUGCGCGUCUGCCUAGUUUUGCGCGCAUCGACCCAUGACCGCCGCCGUCGGCGUGGGGGUGACCCGCGUCCGUCCGGCUCGCGCGUCAGCUUGGCGGCUGCCCGCGUCGCACUCGCGGCCGCCGGUGCUGGUGGGCCACGGGCCCCACCAGCGUAGGGGUUUUCGUCUGUUUGUUUGCCAGGUAGGAGUAGGACGCAGCAGGACGGUUGGAGGCACAGUACAGUGUGCUCUGUUGUUCUCUUGGGUUAACCGAACUGUGCUGGGAUCAUUCCGCACGUCCGGGCUAGCUGCUAAUAGGCCGUCCUGGAGCGUUGGAGUUAACCAGUGAAGUGAUUGGGCCAAUCACAUCGGUGCUUCGCCGCCAACAACAAGCACGGUCCAAAUCUCUCUCUCUCUUAAAGUUAAAAUAAAAAAAUGUUUAUUUCUAAUGCAAUUUGACGAGGGAAACUGACGGUUCAAGAAAGAAACACAACGACGGCAUCGUUGUAUCAGCUAAAAGAAAUAAUUUGUAGCCUGUACGGCAUGCCGGAGGUGCGCCCUCUCGUUUGUUGGACUGAAGGACCGAUGAUGACCGCGACCGCCCUAGCAGAGUUUGACACUCUUUUUUUUUCACUUGGAAAUGGGUACAAGAUGAUUAAUGAGGCAAAAGAAAGAAA